This 126-nucleotide ribosomal RNA is filed under the name Carlito syrichta (Philippine tarsier). The record is from RNAcentral. Lineage: Eukaryota; Metazoa; Chordata; Mammalia; Primates; Tarsiidae.
UCUAUGGCCAUACCAUCCUGAAUGCACCCAAUCCUGACUGAUCUUGGAAGCUAAGCUAGGUUGGGCUGGUUAGUACUAGGAUAGGAGGAAUGCCUAUAUUAAUAAGAAAUAAAGUAGAUUUCAGGA